AGAGUUUGAUCCUGGCUCAGAUUGAACGCUGGCGGAAUGCUUUACACAUGCAAGUCGAACGGCAGCACGGGAGCUUGCUCCUGGUGGCGAGUGGCGAACGGGUGAGUAAUGCGUCGGAACGUACCGAGUAAUGGGGGAUAACGCACCGAAAGGUGUGCUAAUACCGCAUACGCCCUGAGGGGGAAAGUGGGGGAUCGCAAGACCUCACGUUAUUCGAGCGGCCGACGUCUGAUUAGCUAGUUGGUGGGGUAAAGGCCUACCAAGGCGACGAUCAGUAGCGGGUCUGAGAGGAUGAUCCGUCACACUGGAACUGAGACACGGUCCAGACUCCUACGGGAGGCAGCAGUGGGGAAUUUUGGACAAUGGGCGCAAGCCUGAUCCAGCCAUGCCGCGUGCGGGAAGAAGGCCUUCGGGUUGUAAACCGCUUUCAGGCGGAAAGAAAUCGUCAGGGUUAAUAACCCUGAUGGAUGACGGUACCGUCAGAAGAAGCACCGGCUAACUACGUGCCAGCAGCCGCGGUAAUACGUAGGGUGCGAGCGUUAAUCGGAAUUACUGGGCGUAAAGCGUGCGCAGGCGGCUUUUUAAGCCAGACGUGAAAUCCCCGGGCUUAACCUGGGAACUGCGUUUGGAACUGGAGAGCUAGAGUGUGUCAGAGGGGGGUGGAAUUCCACGUGUAGCAGUGAAAUGCGUAGAGAUGUGGAGGAACACCGAUGGCGAAGGCAGCCCCCUGGGACAGCACUGACGCUCAUGCACGAAAGCGUGGGGAGCAAACAGGAUUAGAUACCCUGGUAGUC
Molecule: ribosomal RNA, 794 nt
Filed under: uncultured bacterium
Lineage: Bacteria
Description: bacterial SSU rRNA
Rfam family: Bacterial small subunit ribosomal RNA
Source: RNAcentral